UGACUAUAAGUUCAACGGCCGCGGUAUUUUGACCGUGCAAAGGUAGCGCAAUCACUUGUCUUUUAAAUAGAGACCUGUAUGAAUGGCCAAACGAGGGCUUAACUGUCUCCCUUUUCAAGUCAGUGAAAUUGAUCUACCCGUGCAGAAGCGGGUAUAAUAAUACAAGACGAGAAGACCCUAUGGAGCUUAAGGUACAAAACUCAACCACGUCAAGCAACUCAAUGAAAAGCAAAAACUUUGUGAAACAUGAGAUUUUACCUUCGGUUGGGGCGACCACGGAGGAAAAAAAAGCCUCCAAGUGGAAUGGAACAAACUCCUAAAACCAAGAGAGACAUCUCUAAGCCACAGAACAUCUGACCAAACAUGAUCCGGCCCAAAAAAGCCGAUCAACGAACCAAGUUACCCUAGGGAUAACAGCGCAAUCCCCUCCCAGAGUCCAUAUCGACGAGGGGGUUUACGACCUCGAUGUUGGAUCAGGACAUCCUAAUGGUGCAGCCGCUAUUAAGGGUUCGUUUGUUCAACGAUUAAAGUCCU
RNAcentral lists this ribosomal RNA (534 nucleotides) under Hypselobarbus kurali. RNAcentral's name for it is "partial 16S ribosomal RNA". It matches the Rfam family "Bacterial large subunit ribosomal RNA", at positions 1908 to 2597 of the family's 2925-position model. Lineage: Eukaryota; Metazoa; Chordata; Actinopteri; Cypriniformes; Cyprinidae. The record is from RNAcentral.